CCUACGGGUGGCAGCAGUCGAGAAUCAUUCACAAUGGGGGAAACCCUGAUGGUGCGACGCCGCGUGGGGGAAUGAAGGUCUUCGGAUUGUAAACCCCUGUCAUGUGGGAGCAAAUUAAAAAGAUAGUACCACACGAGGAAGAGACUGCUAACUCUGUGCCAGCAGCCGCGGUAAUACAGAGGUCUCAAGCGUUGUUCGGAAUCACUGGGCGUAAAGCGUGCGUAGGCUGUUUCGUAAGUCGUGUGUGAAAGGCGCGGGCUCAACCCGCGGACGGCACAUGAUACUGCGAGACUAGAGUAAUGGAGGGGGAACCGGAAUUCGCGGUGUAGCAGUGAAAUGCGUAGAGAUCGAGAGGAACACUCGUGGCGAAGGCGGGUUCCUGGACAUUAACUGACGCUGAGGCACGAAGGCCAGGGGAGCGAAAGGGAUUAGAUACCCUAGUAGUC
This 446-nucleotide ribosomal RNA is filed under the name uncultured bacterium. RNAcentral's name for it is "partial 16S ribosomal RNA". It matches the Rfam family "Bacterial small subunit ribosomal RNA", at positions 338 to 795 of the family's 1533-position model. The record is from RNAcentral.